AAUGAACGCUGGCGGCCAGGCCUAACACAUGCAAGUCGAACGGGUCCUUCGGGACUAGUGGCGGACGGGUGAGUAACGCGUGGGAACGUGCCCCUUGGUACGGAAUAGCCCCGGGAAACUGGGAGUAAUACCUCAUAGUAUGUGAGAAUCGCAUGGUUUUCACAUUAAAGUUCCAACGGUAAAAGAUGAGCAUGCGUCCCAUUAGCUAGAUGGUAAGGUAACGGCUUACCAUGGCGACGAUGGGUAGGGGUCCUGAGAGGGAGAUCCCCCACACUGGUACUGAGACACGGUCCAGACUCCUACGGGAGGCAGCAGUGGGGAAUUUUGGACAAUGGACGCAAGUCUGAUCUAGCCAUUCCGCGUGCAGGAUGAAGGCCCUCGGGUUGUAAACUGCUUUUGUACGGAACGAAAAGGUCUCUAUUAAUACUAGGGGCUCAUGACGGUACCGUAAGAAUAAGCACCGGCUAACUACGUG
RNAcentral lists this ribosomal RNA (475 nucleotides) under uncultured bacterium. RNAcentral's name for it is "bacterial SSU rRNA". It matches the Rfam family "Bacterial small subunit ribosomal RNA", at positions 29 to 507 of the family's 1533-position model. The record is from RNAcentral.